This 396-nucleotide ribosomal RNA is filed under the name uncultured bacterium. Its description in RNAcentral is "partial 16S ribosomal RNA". It matches the Rfam family "Bacterial small subunit ribosomal RNA", at positions 523 to 918 of the family's 1533-position model. The record is from RNAcentral.
AUACGUAGGUGGCAAGCGUUGUCCGGAAUUAUUGGGCGUAAAGCGCAUGUAGGCGGUUUGGUAAGUCGGUCGUGAAAAUGCGGUGCUUAACGCCGUAUGGCGAUUGAAACUGCUGAACUUGAGUGCAGGAGAGGAAAGGGGAACUCCCAGUGUAGCGGUGAAAUGGGUAGAUAUUGGGAAGAACACCGGUGGCGAAGGCGCCUUUCUGGACUGGGUCUGGAGCUCAGAUGCGAAAGCCAGGGUAGCGAACGGGAUUAGAUACCCCGGUAGUCCUGGCCGUAAACGAUGGGUACUAGGUGUGGGAGGUAUCGACUCCUUCCGUGCCGGAGUUAACGCAAUAAGUACCCCGCCUGGGGAGUACGGCCGCAAGGCUUAAACUCAAAUGAAUUGACGGGG